CGCUCCUCGUUGUUAUGCAUGUGGAGUCGUACCUGCUCAGUGAAUAAUUUUAACAGCCGCGGUACUCUGACCGUGCAAAGGUAGCAUAAUCAUUUGCCUUAUAAUUGAAGGCUAGUAUGAAUGGUUUGACGAGAAUUAAGCUGUCUCUUUUCAACUAAAUAUAACUUUAUUUACAGGUGAAGAAGCCUGUAUUAUAUUGAAAGACAAGAAGACCCUAUCGAGCUUUAAAUAAUUUAAUAAGUUAACUAUAUAUUGAUAGAAAAAUUAAAUUGUUAAGGAUUUUAGUUGGGGCGACUGAGGAACAAACAAAGCUUCCUUAUUAACAUGGAAACAUACAGGUAUUGAUCCAAUAUUUUUGAUUAAGGGAAUUAGUUACCGUAGGGAUAACAGCAUAAUCCUCUUUGAGAGCUCUUAUCGAAAAGGGGGUUUGUGACCUCGAUGUUGGACCAGAAUAUCCGGAAGAUGCAGCCGUCUUCAAUGGUUGGUCUGUUCGACCAUUAAAAUUCUACGUGAUCUGAGUUCAGACCGGCGUGAGCCAGGUCAGUUUCUAUCUUCAAUUAUUAAAAUGACUUUAGUACGAAAGGACCAAGUUAUUACACUAAGUUGUUACGAGUAGAUUAAAUAUAAAGAGUUAUUAAAUUAUCAAGUAAAUCAAAUUAGCAAAGAUGAAUGCAAUUGACUUAGGAUCAAUAGACAUAGGUGAAAUCCCUUUAUUUGAUAAAAAUAUGUCUACAUAAAGAUGGCAGAAAAA
This 751-nucleotide ribosomal RNA is filed under the name Mancinella alouina. Its description in RNAcentral is "partial 16S ribosomal RNA". The stretch from base 1 to 578 matches the Rfam family "Bacterial large subunit ribosomal RNA", at positions 1816 to 2925 of the family's 2925-position model. The record is from RNAcentral. Lineage: Eukaryota; Metazoa; Mollusca; Gastropoda; Neogastropoda; Muricidae.